Small nucleolar RNA from Cavia aperea (Brazilian guinea pig), 137 nucleotides. The record is from Ensembl. Lineage: Eukaryota; Metazoa; Chordata; Mammalia; Rodentia; Caviidae.
GUGGCCCUGAAUCAAGGCCGGUAGCUUCCUGACGCUGUUGGUUUCAAGCAGGAGCCUAAGGAGAUGUCUUUCUAUGGUCUGUUGGCCAUUUGAGACUGUGGGCAGUGAAAUGGUCAAUUCAUUAGAAAAAAACAGCU